AGCUUGAAUCCAAGUCGAUUAGGUGCAUAUCCAAGUUCUAAGAUCACAACACCUGAUGGACUAAGCAAAUGUGCAUGAAUUUUAAAAAUAUAUUUAAUGCAAGGCAUGGCAUGUUAUGAAGUCAAUAGAUGGUAUGUAAGCUUGGACGUGCAUGGUUUUUAGCACACAACCCUCCCAGUGGCUUAAAAGAAAGCGGUUCACAUGAUAAAAACUGACUUUUUAGAUGGGACCCAUGUGAUUUGGUGUUGGGAAGUUAACUAUAAAUAGAGGAAGUGGCGCGUGGCUUAUGCUGGUACGUGGGUUGGCAUGGCGCACGACUUUUUGGUGUUGGGAUCAAGUGCUGGUAAAGUGCGAGAAUUGGAUGCGGACGCUGGACCAAGAGCUGAGAGAUUUAAAUGCAUAGCUGACAGGUUAAUAAAAGCGGCAUCCACGUGGUUUGCGCGCGAGUUAGGAGCUGGCAACGAAGACGUUAUGAAGCAGGCGGAACUAACGUGGGAGCUACGGAACAGACGCGAGAACGCGGUGCGGAAGCAUUUACGCGACUCGGACACGGCUUGGAGCUUUAUUAAAAGGAAAACCACAAGAGCGAAGAAAGUGAGAUACGCUGGACACCGCCAUUCUCCAUCUCGUCUUCCAUCAUUCUCAUUCCAUAUUUCAUCUAGCCUAGCCCUCCAAACAUCCAAAAAGCUUCCACCAUCCAUCACACACCAGCCCUCCUCUUCCAUCUCCAACCUUCCAAACAAUCCAUCUGCUCAAUCCCAGGAUGUCAGCGCGUAAGAGUUCCAUGGAAGGCUAGACUCCUUCAACUCGGAAAGACGAUGAAGCCUGCAACACAGAUUUAUUUUCUUUAUCUUGUAUUUAUUUUUCAUGCAAUGAAAUAAAGAAUUGUUUUAUGCUUCAUGCUCAUUUAAUAUUCUUUCUUAUUUCUUAGAGAUUUGGAUUUGACGUGUACGAUUUAUUCUUUUUACAGACAUGCCGUGAUCUACAGAUAUGGUACGCGCUAAGAGAGAUAGAUUGUUACAUUUCAAGUUCAAGUCUCUAACUUGUAGUUGAGUUAAGAUAAUCUAUACUCUGGACGGAUGAGCCAUAAUCCAAGGAUAUGGUUCGUACCUAUCCGAGGUAAAUUACGCUGCUUCUUAAUUACAAAUCUCAUCAUUGUGACAUAAAAGUAAAAGAAAAUAGAAUCUGUUUUACAUGGUGGAUUCUGAAUUUUCGAGAUUUCUUUCCUAUUCAAUUUUCUUUUGUGAAUUAAACUUAAAUUAUUAUUUUCUUAGUAAUUAAUUAAAAUCAAUCUUCUCUUUCUUUUAUUAAUUAUAAACAAUUGUCCGAGAUCCCUGUGAAACGAUCCUGAUUCACCCUAGCUACGUAGUAAGUUAGAAUUGGGUUUAUUUUUGAUGCCCUGAUGACGCGCAUCAAAUUUUGGCGCCGUUGCCGGGGAUCUUGGCACGGUUGAAAAAAAAAAAUAAAUUUAUUUAUUGCUUUCUUUAAUUACUUGUUUGCUUUUUGUUCUCUUGAUUUAUAAAAAAAAUAUUAUAAAUAUUUGCUUAUUUGCUGAAUUGCUUUAGUUUAUUUUCUUUAUAUUCUUGAGUUAACUUUUAAUAUAAUUAAUUUUUUUUUAAUUUUAAUUGCUUAAAAAAAAAUUAUCUCUACAUUGACACCUCAUAAGCCAUUUAGAAAAUUAGAGAAUUAAUCAUAAAAUCUAAAAAGAGAAACAAAGUGAUUUAAUUUAGUCUUGACUGUAUACUACUUACGAAGAUUGGACAUCUUGGUUUGUUGCAUCUCAUUUCCAUAAUUAAUCUUAAGGGCAAUAAUCCAUUAAUCAGAUAAGGUGGGGAUUUGAUCACCCUUCCUUGGUCUAAAAAUCAUAUCCUUCAUUUUGCAUUAAACCAAGCCUUAAUUUUAAAAUCAACUAGACGACAGCCUUAGAAAUUUCGAGCUCAAUAGGAUAAGAAAGCUCUAGAGUUGAACCGAGUGCGGAUUGGUUAAUUGCUCGGUGUCUAAGGCAAGUGGUUAAAGAAAGUGGUUUUCAAUUGGUUCCGUUGACUGAUCUGGCCAACUCAGUUGGUGUCUAAGGAAAGCAACGAGCAGGGAACCUCCCACAUCUUACACUUACCUGGCCGAAUCAAUUAGUCAGUCUUGAGCUUGGAGUGCUCAAAGGCGGUCUUGGAAGAUAGGAGCUGUCUAGAUCUAGGUUAACCCUAGGAUAGAGAGUCUAUGCUUGUUUAAGUUGAUUGCAAUUAACAUCUAAAUAUUAACUAAUUUCUCCUUUUUCAUAGAUUUAAGAUUCUUAGGUUCUUCUCUUUAGAUUUCCUUCACUCUUUUCUCACUUUAUUAAAAUAUAUAUAUAUAUAUAUAUUAUAAAAACUAAAAUUUUCUAUAUUUGCUGUCAAGUAUAAUUGUAGGGUGUAUGCUCGGUCGUAGAUCGUUACGACCAGAAAUCCAACCUUUUGAUCCAGAAAUAGAAAAAACCUUUAGAGCCAACAGAUGUAAAAAUAUGGAACGAAAUCAGGANNNNNNNNNNNNNNNNNNNNGUUACCUUCAUUUUAUGGACUUAGUAAUGAGGACCCUUAUAAACAUCUUAAAGAAUUUCUUGAGAUAUGCUCAACUGUCAAGAUUCACAACUUCUCCGAUGAUGCUCUUAGGUUCAAAUUAUUCCCUUUCUCACUUAAGGACAAAGCCAAAUACAGGCUACAUACUUUGGAUUCCAUGACUAUAUCAACCUGGGACCAGCUGCAAGGAGAGUUUCUCAAGAAAUAUUUUUUCAUAGGAAAAACUAAUCAAAUAAGAAAAGCCAUAACUAGUUUUUCCCAAUUAAAUGGAGAAAUGUUCCAUGAAACAUGGGAGAGGUUAAAGGACCUUAUUAGAAAAUGUCCCCACCAUGCUGUACCCAAGUGGCAGUUAAUCCAAUGUUUUUAUGAUGGGCUAUCUGAAAGACAUCGACAAAUGGUCGAUGCAUCAUGCGGUGGAACAUUCAUGCUCAAAAGUGAGGAAGAGGCAUGGCAACUGUUUGAAAUUUUAAGUGAAAAUUCAUUACAUCAUAUGUCUACCUUCAUUAGAGAUAAACCCAUGUUAAACCCAAAGAGAGGUGGAAUAUAUGAAGUAGGAAACUCAAUAGAUAUCCAUCAUAAGAUAGAUGAAUUGUCCCAAAAAUUAAAUCGAUUAUUAAGUAUGGGACAUUCCUCUUCUCCAUCUUGUUAGAUGCAAGAUAUAUGUGCAUUAUGUUCGAGCCCACUCAUUGUGUGAAUGAUUGUCCAGUUGCACUACAGUUUUCUGAAUAUAUACAAGAACAAGUCCAUCAAGCCCAAACUACUCAUAGACCAGGGAACAACCCCUAUUCUAGUACGUACAAUCCAGGAUGGAGAAAUCAUCCGAAUUUCUCGUGGAAAUCACAACCAGUGGUUCUUCCAGUGCAACAAAAAUCAGGUUAUCUGGAUGUAGCUUAUAGACAUCCAUCUCAGUCACAAUACCAGAACCCUCCUCAACCCACCCCAAGUACUCAUAACUCGGCUUUCGAAGAAAAGGUGCUGCAAGCACUUAAAGGACUAGAAAUGAAUACCCAACUCCUUCACUCCCAUACGCAAUCAAUAGCAAAGCUAGAGACCCAGAUAGGUCAGCUAGCAACAACUUUCAGUAGGAGGGAAGAAGGCAAAUUACCCAGUCAGCCUAUUAAUAACCCAAAAGGACAGUACAUGGCUGAAAGCACCAUUAGUCCUAAAACUUUUCCCGAACAUGCCAAAUCGAUUAUGACCCUUAGAAGCGAAAAAACCUUAAAUCAACCUGAAAUAACCCAACAACAAGAGCAACCAAUUCCAGCCACACCAGAAAAGAAGAAACCUGAAGAGAGGAAAGAACAUGUUAACCCAGCACAUGUACCUAAGGCUCCAUUUCCUAGUACUUUAGAAUCCCCUCUGCCUCUUGAUAAGAAGGGUAUAAAAAUGAAUGAAAUGUUGGAACUGUUUAAACAGGUUCAGAUAAACUUACCCCUUCUCGAUGCCAUUAAGCAAGUUCCGACCUAUGCCAAAUUUCUAAAGGACCUGUGUACACAGAAAUGAAAAUCAAAGGCACAGAUACCAAGAAAAGUCCACCUAACUGAGCAGGCCAGCUCAGUUUUUCAGCAAAUUGCCCCACCCAAACUGAAAGAUCCAGGUACCCCUAUUAUUUCUUGUGUCAUAGGGGAUCUCACGAUUAAGAAGGCAUUAUUAGAUUUGGGUGUAAGUGUCAACCUUCUCCCGAGUUUUGUAUAUGACCUAUUUGGAUUUGGAGAGUUAAAACCCACGACAGUGACCUUACAACUAGCAGACCGAUCUAUUAAGGUACCUCGAGGAAUGCUGGAAGAUGUGUUGGUGAAAGUAGAUGAAUUCUAUUUUUCUGUUGACUUUCUUGUGCUGGAUAUGGAUCUGGCAGCAACCCUAGCCAAAUACCGAUCAUCCUAGGUGGACCCUUCUUAACAACCGCUAAUGCUUGUAUAAAUUGUAGGACUGGGGUUAUGGAUGUAUCUUUCGAAAAUAAGAAGUUGAGGUUGAAUAUUUUCAAUGCAUCUCAGGGACCACCUACAUACGACCAUAAUGAGAUCAACCUGUUAGAGGAAGUUGUAGAAGAUAAAGCUCUUGCCUUACUCAACUCAGAUCCUUUACAGGCAUGUCUAACACAUUUUGGAAUGAAUAAUUUUGAUAUCGAUGGAUACACUGAAGAAAUACAUGUUUUGCUAGAACCUCCCAAUUUUAGCACCACUCCCCUUUGGACUGUAAAAUAUGAACAAUUACCAACUCAAUCAAGUCCUCUGGUACCAUCCUUAGAAGCACUACCUACUCUAGAACUAAAGCCUCUUCCUGUCAUGCUGGAAUAUUCAUUUCUUGGAUCCAAUGAUACCCUUCCAGUGAUCAUUGCAUCUGACCUAACUACUGAUCAGGAAGACAAACUUGUAGGGGUGCUCAAAAAGCAUAAAGAGGCUAUAGGGUGGUCGAUUGCCGAUUUGAAGGGUAUAGAUCCUUCUGUUUGCAUGCAUCAUAUUCACUGCGAGGUUGAGGCAAAACCAUAUAAGGACAUGCAACGAAGAUUGAAUCCGAAUAUGCGGGAAGUCGUGAAAAAAGAAGUAGUGAAAUGGCUAGAUGCUGGAAUUAUCUACCCAAUUUCGGAUAGCCAAUAGGUUAGUCCAACCCAAGUAGUACCUAAGAAGUCAGGUAUUACCGUAGUAGAGAACAACGAGGGUGAAUUGAUUCUUACUCGUGCAACAACUGAUUGGCAAGUAUGUGUGGACUACCGAAAGUUGAAUGCCGUUACUAGGAAAGAUCAUUUUCCUUUGCCUUUUAUUGACCAAAUUUUAGAACGGCUAGCAGGACAAAGUUUCUUCUAUUUUCUAGAUGGAUAUUUGGGAUAUAACCAGAUUUCGGUAUUCCCUGCUGAUCAAGAAAAGACUACCUUCACAUGUCUAUAUGGAACAUUUGCAUUUAGACGUAUGCCAUUCGGUCUCUGCAAUGCACCAGCCACUUUUCAACGGUGCAUUUUGGCCAUCUUUUCUGAUAUGGUCGACAAAUUUCUAGAGGUCUUCGUGGACAAUUUUUUGAUAUUUGGCUCUACCUUUGAUGAUUGUCUUCAGAACCUAGCCAAGGUUCUCCAACGAUGUGUAGAGACAAAUUUGGUUUUAAGUUGGGAGAAGAGCCAUUUUAUGGUUCGUGAGGGAAUCGUGCUUGGACAUAUUGUAUCCAAAUGGGGGAUCGAAGUAGAUAAAGCAAAGGUUGAAGUAAUCUUGAAAUUGCCUCCCCCAACCUCGGUUAAACAAGUGCGAUCCUUCCUAGGCCAUGCAGAUUUCUAUAGGCGCUUCAUUAAGGAUUUCAGCAAGAUCUCACGACCCUUGUGCAACUUGCUUGCCAAGGAAAAUUCUUUUGAUUUUAAUGAAGAUUGCCUAACCGCUUACAAUAAACUCAGAACUGCCUUAACCACUGCACCAAUCAUAAAAUCUCCGGAUUGGACCCUACCAUUUGAAAUCAUGUGUGAUGCUUCUGAUUAUGCUGUAGGGGCAGUCCUUGGGCAAAGCUUUAAUUGGGAACCGCAUGUAAUUUAUUAUGCAAGUAAAACUCUUUCAGAUGCUCAAUUGAAUUACACCACGACUGAAAAAGAGUUACUCGCUGUUGUGUUUGCCCUAGAUAAAUUUAGAUUAUACCUUUUGGGCUCCAAGGUCCUAGUAUACUCCGAUCAUGUAGCACUGAAACAUCUGCUAUCCAAAAAAGAUACAAAACCUAGGCUGAUUAGAUGGAUCCUUCUAUUACAAGAAUUUGAUUUAGAAAUUUUAGACAAAAAAGGCUCUGAAAACUUGGUAGCAGAUCAUAUUUCUAGGAUCCUGAUAGAACACAAUAAAGAAAUGAUUAGAGAUAGGUUUCCAGAUGAACAACUCUUUUCAAUCUCUUCCACUGGUCUUCUCUGGUUCACUCAUAUAGUCAAUUACUUGGCAGUGGGACAAAUAUCAUCACAUUGGACCUAACAAGAGAAAAACAGAUUUUUCUCCCAAGUAAAGUACUAUUUCUGGGAAGAACCAGAGUUGUUCAAAUAUUGCCCAAAUCAAGUAAUCCGACGUUGUGUCUUCGAGUGUGAAGUCCAAAGUUUUUUUAACUUCUGCCACUCGCUAGCAUGUGGGGGAUAUUUUAGUGGAAGGAAAACUGCAGCAAAGGUGUUGCAGAGUGGAUUUUAUUAGCCGACAUUAUUCAAAGAUGCACAUGAAUUCAGUCGUAAUUGCCUGCAAUGCCAGCAAACAGGGAAUAUUUCGAGAAAAGAUAUGAUGCCCCUAUCCCCUAUACUUGUAGUAGAAAUUUUUGAUAUUUGGAGAAUUGAUUUCAUAGGACCCUUUCUCUCAUUUGGAUUCGAGUACAUUUUGGUAGCAGUGGACUACGUAUCAAAAUGGGUAGAGGCUAUGGCAACCCGAACCAAUGAUCACAAAGUCAUGAUCAAGUUUAUUCAGCAUAACAUCUUUAGUCGAUUUGGAUGCCCAAGAGCCAUAAUUAGCGAUGGGGGUACACACUUCACGAAUAAGCACUUCGACACGCUAAUGAAAAAAUAUGGAAUAACCCAUAAAGUCAUCACACCUUAUCACCCCCAAACAAGUGGCCAAGUUGAGGUCUCCAACAGGGAAAUCAAGCAUAUUCUUGAAAAAACGGUAAGACCCGAUAGAAAAGAUUGGUCAGCACGCUUGGAUGAUGCAUUAUGGGCUUACCGUACUACUUUUAAAACACCCAUAGGAAUAUCUCCUUAUCGACUUGUAUUCGGUAAAGCUUGUCAUCUGCCGGUGGAAUUGGAACAUCGUGCAUUUUGGGCCAUACGAUAAUUUAACUUUGAUAUGAAAAAUGUGGGUUCCAAUAGGAGACUUCAACUAAAUGAACUUGAAAAGCUACGCAAUGAAGCGUAUGAGAGUGCCAGAAUUUAUAAGGCUCGAACUAAAGCAUACCACGAUAAAUUCAUUGCACGAAAAAUAUUCGAGUCCAAUCAAAAAGUUUGGCUCUUCAAUUCUAGGUUGUGAUUUUUUCCUGAUAAAUUUCGUUCAUGUUGGAACGGACCUUUCAUUGUAACUCAAGUAUUUCCCUAUGAAGCCGUAGAACUCAGAGAUCCUAAACAGGGGAACACCUUUAAAGUAAACGGUCAGUGAUUGAAACCUUACAUAAAUGGAAUUAGCGAUGGAGAAUUAAUUGAAUCUGUUGAUCUAAUGGAUCCAAUACCGCUAUGAUACUCAGUUCAGUCUUGCUGAAGACUUUAAACUUAGCGCUCCUAGGAGACAACCCAAUUUAUACAUUUUUUUUUAAUUAUCUAGCUUCUUUUCUUUUCAUAAAAAAAUCUAAGAAAGGCAAUCAGCCAAGUUGGGGGGAGCAUCUCAUCCAAAGUCCAGAUGAAGUCAUGAACCAAUCACGCCCACAAAGGAAGAAUCCCUCACCUGACAAUGAACGAGCACAUCAAAUCCAGGUGGUAUCUUUCCUUGUAAUUUCUUUCUCUAUUCUACUUUGUUAUUUUCUUCAUCCAUCGGGGGCAAUGGAAAUAAAGUUGGAGGGGAGAGAAUAAUUAAAUUAAUCAAGUCCUCAAGUAUGACCAUAAUCACUUUUGUGUACCAAAUUUUGUCUUGAUUUGAAGUAAAUCAGGUGUUCUAACUGAUAAAUGAUUAACGGUUUAGACAAUUUUAGAGAUAUUGAGGGGCAAAUUAUUAAGGAAGUCCAAUAAAUGGUAGGGUUUAGACCUGAACAAAUUUUAAAGUAAUUUUAAAAUCUUCGGCCCAAUGAUCUCAAUAAAGAAUCUACUUUAUGAGGGUAUAAGUGGAAAAGUCAAAGUAUGCAUAAAGUCCACUUUACAGUCUAUUUAGAUUAAUAAAAUAGGUUUUCAGCAUUUCUUACUGAGUAACCGAGCCCUUUCGCCUAAGUAAGCGUUAUAGUUCGCGUCAAAAGGUAGGAAUGUGAAAGAACCUCUUGUAAAGUCAGUCUUAACUCGUAGCCUUUUUGACUCGAGUUAGUAAGCCUGAGGGGUGUUCUACACCUAAUGCCCUAAAGCCAACUGAUUUGGGAGUCAUUGGCUUAAAACUCGCUAUAAGGGUCAAUUAGAAAGCUUAAGGGGUUAGGACAUUGCACUGACUAUAUGCUUCAAAAAAAAAAAAGGUAUAAGGGGACUAAAAUGCAAAAAGACACUACACUAAGCCCACAGUAAGUUAGAGGACUUAAAGAGUGAAGUGGGAAGUUGGCAAAAGAAAAAAAAUUCUAGAAAUUUCUAUGGACUUCACUCAACCACUAGAUGGGUAGAAUUGAUAACCCGAUGAAAUAUCCCUUUGAUGAUCUAGCCAGGUAUCAAUUGACAUAGAAUUGCCACGAUAACUCUCAUUUCUAGGACAAUUUGGUACGUAUUAUUGAUUUAUCUAUUUUACUCGAGGACGAGUAAAAGUUCAAAUUGGGGGGUGUGAUCAAUACAUUAAUUAUGCCACGAGAAGUAUUAUACCUGUGCUAUUUAAUCUUUAUUAUUUUAUUUUUUUCAGGAAUUAUCAAGUAUAAAGGCCUAAUUACAGAUCGACUAUGUGACCAAGCCUGAGCUCGAAUCCAAAUCGAUUAGGUGCAUAUCCAAGUUCUAAGAUCACAACACCUGAUGGACUAAGCAAAUGUGCAUGAAUUUUAAAAAUAUAUUUAAUGCAAGGCUUGGCAUGUUAUGAAGUCAAUAGAUGGUAUGUAAGCUUGGACGUGCAUGGUUUUUAGCACACAACCCUCCCAGUGGCUUAAAAGAAAGCGGUUCACAUGAUAAAAACUGACUUUUUAGAUGGGACCCAUGCGAUUUGGUGUUGGGAAGUUAACUAUAAAUAGAGGAAGUGGCGCGUGGCUUAUGCUGGUACGUGGGUUGGCAUGGUGCGCGACUUUUUGGUGUUGGGAUCAAGUGCUGGUAAAGUGCGAGAAUUGGACGCGGACGCUGGACCAAGAGCUGAGAGAUUUAAAUGCAUAGCUGACAGGUUAAUAAAAGCGGCAUCCACGCGGUUUGCACGCGAGUUAGGAGCUGGCAACAAAGAUGUUAUGAAGCAGGCGGAAAACUAACGCUGGAGCUAUGGAACAGAUGCGAGAACGCGGUGCGGAAGCAUUUACACAACUCGAACACGGCUUGGAGCUUUAUUAAAAGGAAAACCACAGGAGCGAAGAAAGUGAGAUACACUGGACACCGCCAUUCUCCAUCUCUUCUUCCAUCAUUCUCAUUCCAUAUUUCAUCUAGCCUAACCCUCCAAACAUCCAAAAAGCUUCCACCAUCCAUCACACACCAGCCCUCCUCUUCCAUCUCCAACCUUCCAAACAAUCCAUCUGCUCAAUCCCAGGAUGUCAGCGCGCAAGAGUUCUAUGGAAGGCUGACUCCUUCAACUCGGAAAGACGAUGAAGCCUGCAACACAGAUUUAUUUUCUUUAUCUUGUAUUUAUUUUCCAUGCAAUGAAAUAAAGAAUUGUUUUAUGCUUCAUGCUCAUUUAAUAUUCUUUCUUAUUUCUUAGAGAUUUGGAUUCGACGUGUACGAUUUAUUCUUUUUACAGACAUACCGUGAUCUACAGAUACGGUACGCACUAGGAGAGAUAGAUUGUUACAUUUCAAGUUCAAGUCUCUAACUUGUAGUUGAGUUAAGGUAAUCUAUACUCU
RNAcentral lists this long non-coding RNA (10121 nucleotides) under Elaeis guineensis (African oil palm). RNAcentral's name for it is "long non-coding RNA (EGUI_LNC018022)". Lineage: Eukaryota; Viridiplantae; Streptophyta; Magnoliopsida; Arecales; Arecaceae. The record is from RNAcentral.